Scaptodrosophila lebanonensis is the source of this 643-nucleotide long non-coding RNA. RefSeq lists it as uncharacterized. NCBI's taxonomy places the organism in Eukaryota, Metazoa, Arthropoda, Insecta, Diptera, Drosophilidae. The record is from RefSeq and is a predicted model, not a curated record. The transcript has 2 exons.
CUCGUUCGACUCUCGUACUACUUGUAAGCAUAUCGGAAACAUGUUUUCCAUCAAAAUUUGUGCACAAAAAAAUUUGCAAUUAAAAAUUGUUUGUGAAAAAAGUAAAUUCAUGUCCUAAUUCCCGUUCAACUGACUUCCAUUUCCCUUUCACUGGCCAUUCCAGCAUCCGAUAAUGCUGUGAUGGUUAAAAUAAUUUUUUAGAAAUCAUAAACAUAUUGGAAUCAUACGAUAUAUGUAUGUACAUGGUACAUGGUGCUUGUACUCGAUGAGGACUCUGUUGCUCGUUUGUCCUUCUUCUUUGGUAAGAAACCAUCUCCGCAAUCGAUUAAAAUUCUCCUUCAUUGCCACACAAAAGGGUGCAAGGAAGGUCCUUUGCCCUACAUAGUGGCUUACAAUUAUUAGACUCUGGACAAUUGCGAUGAAAAUAAUAAUACGACGGUCUCCCUGUUCGUUCGCUUAACUGAUAUGGAUAUCCCGCCAGAUGAGACGGUACCGACCUCUCUCUCUGGAUCCUGAGGAUUGCGAUCCACUGGCGGUCACAUCAGAGACUGUUGCUGAUUACACAUAUUUUUGGUUUUGAUUCCUCAAGUGCCGCUAUUGCUGGACUGAAAUGUUCAAAUAAAAGUGGUGUGGUAGUCGGAAA